AUGGCGGCGGCGGCGGGCCUCCACCAAGACGUUCUCGCCCGUAUCUUGCUCCUCCUGUCGUGCAUCGUGGACCGCGUCAGGGCGUCCGCGGUCAACAAGCACUGGCGGCGGGUCUCGCUCCAGAAUCCGCCCCCGCUGCCGCGCCUCCUCCGGCCGUCCACGGCCCGGACCGAGACCUACCGGAUCUUCGGCGGCUUCGUCGAUCUGCACCCGUCCUUCUCUGACGAGGGCCGCGGGCCGCGUUUCUGCGGGUCUGCUCCGGGCGGCUGGUUCGUGAUGUCAUCCCAGCCCUGGCGCGGCCACGCGCUCCUGAAUCUCCGCACCGGCGAGCGCGUCGCCCUGCCGGAGAGGGUGCGCAUCCCGCUCGAGUCCGGCGUCAUCACGUGCCCCAUGAUGAUCCGCGCAGCCGUCAUGUCCGUGGCGCCGCCGUCUGGCGCCUGCUUGGUCGCUGCGGUAACAUCCAGCCAGACCAACCUGGCGUUCUGGCGGCCGGGCAUGGAUUGCUGGUUGUCCGCGCCGGCGGUAGGACCGGUUAUGCGCAACGCCGAAGACAUCACUUACCACGACGGAUGGUUCUGUGCCGUCGAAUCAGACGAUGACCUCGUCUGCUACAAGCCGGAAAUCGCCCAUGCGGAAGACGGCGCCCCUUCGCUGACCAUUCGACAUCACGCCUACAAUCUCCAUGUCGAUGGUCACCGGACGGCACCCGGGGAGAUCGUCUCCCGCUACCUCCUGCCCUCCGCUUCCGGUGCCGAUCUCCUGAUGGUGAAAAGAUUCAUCGCGCCGGCGAGAGGCGGCACCUGCCGGUUCCAGGUCUUCAGGCUGCAGGAGGGACUGCCGGCUUCCUGGCGCCUGUACCAGAUGAGCGGGCAGGUGCUCUUCGUCGGCCGGGCCUGCUCCAAGGCCUUCUACACGGGGCACGGCGGCAGCCCGGGCUAUAUCUAUUUCCUCGACGACGUCUACACCGGUGGUCCGCACAGUGUCACCCAGCAGAACGAGUAUCCCUGCGUCGACGCCGGCGGGUGGUGUUACUCAGUCCCCGACGAGAUCCAGCGCUGCCUGCCAUGGUUGCCCCCCUCGGACACCUCGCCAUGCAUUUGGUACCACCAUUAA
This 1113-nucleotide ribosomal RNA is filed under the name Triticum aestivum (bread wheat). Its description in RNAcentral is "partial small subunit ribosomal RNA". The record is from RNAcentral. Lineage: Eukaryota; Viridiplantae; Streptophyta; Magnoliopsida; Poales; Poaceae.